GGGCCCGCACAAGCGGUGGAGCAUGUGGUUCAAUUCGACGCAACGCGAAGAACCUUACCUGGGCUCGAAAUGUAGUGGACUGAGGUAGAAAUAUCUCUUUCUCGCAAGAGACUGCUAUAUAGGUGCUGCAUGGCUGUCGUCAGCUCGUGUCGUGAGAUGUUGGGUUAAGUCCCGCAACGAGCGCAACCCUUAUCUUUAGUUGCCAUCAGGUCAAGCUGGGCACUCUAACGAAACCGCCUCGGAUAACGGGGAGGAAGGUGGGGAUGACGUCAAGUCCUCAUGGCCUUUAUGUCCAGGGCUACACACGUGCUACAAUGGUCGGUACAAACCGUCGCAGACCCGCGAGGGGAAGCCAAUCGGAAAAAGCCGGCCUCAGUUCGGAUUGGAGUCUGCAACUCGACUCCAUGAAGCUGGAAUCGCUAGUAAUCGCGGAUCAGAACGCCGCGGUGAAUACGUUCCCGGGCCUU
This 467-nucleotide ribosomal RNA is filed under the name uncultured bacterium. RNAcentral describes it as "bacterial SSU rRNA". It matches the Rfam family "Bacterial small subunit ribosomal RNA", at positions 917 to 1382 of the family's 1533-position model. The record is from RNAcentral.